UCACCAGACUCCUACGGGAGGCAGCAGUGGGGAAUAUUGCGCAAUGGGGGAAACCCUGAUGCAGCGACGCCGCGUGAAGGACGAAGUAUUUCGGUACGUAAACUUCUAUCAGCAGGGAAGAAAAUGACGGUACCUGACCAAGAAGCCCCGGCUAACUACGUGCCAGCAGCCGCGGUAAUACGUAGGGGGCAAGCGUUAUCCGGAUUUACUGGGUGUAAAGGGAGCGUAGACGGCGGUGCAAGCCAGAUGUGAAAGCCCGGGGCUCAACCCCGGGACUGCAUUUGGAACUGUGCUGCUAGAGUGUCGGAGAGGCAGGCGGAAUUCCUAGUGUAGCGGUGAAAUGCGUAGAUAUUAGGAGGAACACCAGUGGCGAAGGCGGCCUGCUGGACGAUGACUGACGUUGAGGCUCGAAAGCGUGGGGAGCAAACAGGAUUAGAUACCCGCGUAG
This 448-nucleotide ribosomal RNA is filed under the name uncultured bacterium. Its description in RNAcentral is "bacterial SSU rRNA". It matches the Rfam family "Bacterial small subunit ribosomal RNA", at positions 328 to 793 of the family's 1533-position model. The record is from RNAcentral.